This 253-nucleotide ribosomal RNA is filed under the name uncultured bacterium. RNAcentral describes it as "partial 16S ribosomal RNA". It matches the Rfam family "Bacterial small subunit ribosomal RNA", at positions 524 to 776 of the family's 1533-position model. The record is from RNAcentral.
UACGUAGGGUGCGAGCGUUAAUCGGAAUUACUGGGCGUAAAGCGUGCGCAGGCGGUUCGUCGUGUCGGUGGUGAAAUCCCCGGGCUUAACCUGGGAAUGGCCAUGGAAACUGGCGAACUGGAGUGCGGCAGAGGGGGGUGGAAUUCCGCGUGUAGCAGUGAAAUGCGUAGAGAUGCGGAGGAACACCGAUGGCGAAGGCAGCCCCCUGGGCUAGCACUGACGCUCAGGCACGAAAGCGUGGGGAGCGAACAGG